GGUGAAAGAAAGUCCACUGCGAUGAAAGCUUGUGUUCCUCUUUCCACUCACAAUCUCCAACAGGAACACACCAAAGCUAAAUACAUCUGAUUUCACUGAAAAUUUUCCUUCUUCUGCAUACUCCGGAGACAUGUAGCCAUAUGUCCCAACAACUCUUUUUGUCAUGGCUCCAGUCUCAUUUCCUCCGAAACUUCUUGCCAUGCCAAAAUCAGAUAUCUUCGGGUUCAUAUCAGUGUCUAGCAAAACAUUGCUAGGCUUAAGAUCUCUGUGUAUUAUCCUCAAUCUAGAGUCUUGGUGAAGAUAGAGAAGUCCGCGAGCAAUUCCAUUAAUAAUAUGGAAGCACUUAGGCCAAUCAAGCAGUGACCUCCUAUCUGUAUCAAAAAGGAACCAAUCCAA
Molecule: unclassified non-coding RNA, 396 nt
Filed under: Hevea brasiliensis (rubber tree)
Lineage: Eukaryota; Viridiplantae; Streptophyta; Magnoliopsida; Malpighiales; Euphorbiaceae
Source: RNAcentral